GACGAACGCUGGCGGCGUGCCUAACACAUGCAAGUCGAGCGGAAAGGCCCUUCGCGGUCCUCGCGCAGCUAACGGGCGAGCAACACGUUAGCAAUUUGCUCACGUCUCUGUGAUACUUACCGGACAUGGUGGCUCAUACGCGAAACGACAACCGUCUGUUUGAGCUGGUUGUGGAAAGGUUUUUCGCGCAUGGGUGUUCUCGCGGCCUUUGAGCCUGUUGGUGGGGUAAUGGUCUUCCAAGGCUUCGACGGGUAGCCGGCAUGGCCGGGUGACCAGCCACACUAGGGCUGAGACUCGGCCGGGACGCCUACGGGAGGAAGCAGUGGGAAAUGUUGGACAAUGGGCGGAAGCCUGAUCCGGCAGCGCCGCGUGAGGGAUGACGGCCAUAGGGUUGUAAUCCUCAUGCAGUACCGACGAAGCGCCGAUGAUGGUGGUGACGGUAGGUACAGAAGAAGCACCGGCUAACUACGUG
Molecule: ribosomal RNA, 472 nt
Filed under: uncultured bacterium
Lineage: Bacteria
Description: partial 16S ribosomal RNA
Rfam family: Bacterial small subunit ribosomal RNA
Source: RNAcentral